GCCGAUGUAGCUCAGCGGCAGAGCAGCUGUUUCGUAAACAGCAGGUCACCGGUUCAAAUCCGGUCAUCGGCUCCA
This 75-nucleotide transfer RNA is filed under the name Armatimonadota bacterium. RNAcentral describes it as "Armatimonadetes bacterium (activated sludge metagenome) tRNA-Thr". It matches the Rfam family "tRNA". Rfam says of the family: Transfer RNA (tRNA) molecules are approximately 80 nucleotides in length. Their secondary structure includes four short double-helical elements and three loops (D, anti-codon, and T loops). Further hydrogen bonds mediate the characteristic L-shaped molecular structure. tRNAs have two regions of fundamental functional importance: the anti-codon, which is responsible for specific mRNA codon recognition, and the 3' end, to which the tRNAs corresponding amino acid is attached (by aminoacyl-tRNA synthetases). tRNAs cope with the degeneracy of the genetic code in two manners: having more than one tRNA (with a specific anti-codon) for a particular amino acid; and 'wobble' base-pairing, i.e. permitting non-standard base-pairing at the 3rd anti-codon position. Lineage: Bacteria; Bacillati; Armatimonadota. The record is from RNAcentral.